MicroRNA precursor from Dichanthelium oligosanthes, 215 nucleotides. It matches the Rfam family "MIR159 microRNA precursor family". Lineage: Eukaryota; Viridiplantae; Streptophyta; Magnoliopsida; Poales; Poaceae. The record is from Rfam.
GGACCUGAAGCGGAGCUCCCUUCACUCCAAUGAAGGGUCGUUUUGAAGGGUGGUACAGCUGCUCGUUCAUGGUUCCCACUAUCCUAUCUCAUCCAAGCAAGACAGACUAUGAGAUGAUUGGUUUGAGAUAGGCUUGUGGUUUGCAUGACCGAGGAGCUGCAUUGUCCCCUCUUUGACCGCUCUUUGGAGUGAAGGGAGUUCUACAUCUUGAUCUC